AAAUGAGCAUAUCACAACAAUAUCCAUUUAAUAACAAAAGCAUAUCACAAUAACAAAUUCACAAUACCCAUUUAAUAAAAGCAUAUCACAAUCAUAGCAAGAGCAUCAACACCGAUUUAAUGAAAACAUAUCAUAAUCAUAAUGCCCUAUAUCACAACAAUACCCAUUGAAUAACAAAAGCAUAUCACAAUUACAUAUUCACAAUACCCAUUUAAUAAAAAAAGUAUAUAACAACAAU
Molecule: unclassified non-coding RNA, 238 nt
Filed under: Hevea brasiliensis (rubber tree)
Lineage: Eukaryota; Viridiplantae; Streptophyta; Magnoliopsida; Malpighiales; Euphorbiaceae
Source: RNAcentral